Molecule: ribosomal RNA, 253 nt
Filed under: uncultured bacterium
Lineage: Bacteria
Description: partial 16S ribosomal RNA
Rfam family: Bacterial small subunit ribosomal RNA
Source: RNAcentral
UACAGAGGUCCCGAGCGUUGUUCGGAUUCACUGGGCGUAAAGGGUGCGCAGGUGGUUGUGCAAGUCUGAUGUGAAAUCUCCGGGCUUAACCCGGAAAUGGCAUUGGAAACUGCAUGGCUAGAGGGUUGGAGGGGGGACUGGAAUACUUGGUGUAGCAGUGAAAUGCGUAGAUAUCAAGUGGAACACCAGUGGCGAAGGCGAGUCCCUGGACAACACCUGACACUGAGGCACGAAAGCUAGGGGAGCAAACAGG